RNAcentral lists this ribosomal RNA (484 nucleotides) under uncultured bacterium. Its description in RNAcentral is "partial 16S ribosomal RNA". It matches the Rfam family "Bacterial small subunit ribosomal RNA", at positions 30 to 507 of the family's 1533-position model. The record is from RNAcentral.
AUUGAACGCUGGCGGCAGGCCUAACACAUGCAAGUCGAGCGGAUGAAGGGAGCUUGCUCCUGGAUUCAGGGGCGGACUGGUGAGUAAUUCCUAGGAAUAUGCCAGGUAGUUGGGGAUAACGUCCGCAAACGGGCGCUAAUACCGCAUACGUCCUGAGGGAGUAAGUGGGGGAUCCUCGGACCUCACGCUAUUAGACGAGCCAAGUUCGGAUUAGCUAGUUGGCGGGGUAAAGGCCUACCAAGGCGACGAUCCGUAACUGGUCUGAGAGGAUGAUCGGCCACACUGGAACUGAGACACGGUCCAGACUCCUACGGGAGGCAGCAGUGGGGAAUAUUGGACAAUGGGCGAAAGCCUGAUCCAGCCAUGCCGCGUGGGUGAAGAAGGACUUCGGAUUGUAAAGCACUUUAGGUUGGGAAGAAGGGCAGUACGUUAAUACCUCGCUGUUUUGACGUUACCAAAAGAAUAAGCACCGGCUAACUUCGUG